Long non-coding RNA from Jaculus jaculus (lesser Egyptian jerboa), 181 nucleotides. RefSeq lists it as uncharacterized. The transcript is spliced from 3 exons. The record is from RefSeq and is a predicted model, not a curated record. NCBI's taxonomy places the organism in Eukaryota, Metazoa, Chordata, Mammalia, Rodentia, Dipodidae.
GUGCUGGGAAUAAAGGCGUGUGCCCCCAAGCCUGGCCAUCAAGAUUAAUGUGCCUAUCUGAACAGUAUGCUAUUGCACUUGGAUCUGUCCUUGGUCCAGCUUUAGAAACUCGAUGAACUAUAGGAAGUCUCUUAAGGCUGAAACUUCUCAUCACAAAUGGCCACUGACCUGUAACUUCCAG